RNAcentral lists this long non-coding RNA (228 nucleotides) under Elaeis guineensis (African oil palm). RNAcentral's name for it is "long non-coding RNA (EGUI_LNC020523)". The record is from RNAcentral. Lineage: Eukaryota; Viridiplantae; Streptophyta; Magnoliopsida; Arecales; Arecaceae.
GACCACAAUCUUGCAACACACGCAGCUUCUUACUUAAAUCUCUGCAAUUUUUUAAGCUUCUCGGGUUUAUCAAGGAGCCUCUGAUCAGUAUCAUCCUACUCAUAUUAGCUCUAGAUAAAAAUAAAUGAGGGAUUUCAUGGGACAUAAUUGGGUAUUGAUUCCUCUCCUUCGAUGAACAUCUAUGGAUUUUGAUCCAAUUAUGCUUUAAUACAAUAGUAACUCAUGUUG